CGGCCGGGAACUCAAAGGAGACUGCCAGUGAUAAACUGGAGGAAGGUGGGGAUGACGUCAAGUCAUCAUGGCCCUUACGACCAGGGCUACACACGUGCUACAAUGGCGCAUACAAAGAGAAGCGACCUCGCGAGAGCAAGCGGACCUCAUAAAGUGCGUCGUAGUCCGGAUUGGAGUCUGCAACUCGACUCCAUGAAGUCGGAAUCGCUAGUAAUCGUGGAUCAGAAUGCCACGGUGAAUACGUUCCCGGGCCUUGUACACACCGCCCGUCACACCAUGGGAGUGGGUUGCAAAAGAAGUAGGUAGCUUAACCUUCGGGAGGGCGCUUACCACUUUGUGAUUCAUGACUGGGGUGAAGUCGUAACAAGGUAACCGUAGGGGAACCUGCGGUUGGA
This 395-nucleotide ribosomal RNA is filed under the name Escherichia coli. RNAcentral describes it as "bacterial SSU rRNA". It matches the Rfam family "Bacterial small subunit ribosomal RNA", at positions 1128 to 1522 of the family's 1533-position model. The record is from RNAcentral. Lineage: Bacteria; Pseudomonadati; Pseudomonadota; Gammaproteobacteria; Enterobacterales; Enterobacteriaceae. RNAcentral also lists the same sequence under 9 other names.